AGAGCGGAGCCAGGGCACGGGGGCAGCGGNCGGCGGGGCGGAGCCGCCGUCGCCAUGGGGACGGGCUGCGGCCUGUCGGACGGAGGUGGCGAAACGUCUUGUGGUGAAAAAUCUUGUGGUGAAAAUAUGUGGAUAUGGGGAACGUCUGUGAGGCAACACCAGCGCGGGGUGUGCUUGGCUAUCAGGGAACCCGCGCCGUGCUCCUAUGAGGGUGAGGCGGGACGUGCAACAUCACGGCGCUCUCCUCGCCCGCUUUACAAGCCGGUCUGCGGGCAGUGAGGAGGUUUCUCCUUCCCUCAGCUUUCCACUCCGGUUUUCCCUAGAGACGUCGUGGAGGGUUUGUCAGGCGAGCGAGACAGCGUGCUGCCUUCAUGUUACUGAAAAACAGCUUCACAGCAUCGUAGAAUGAUUUGGGUUGGAAGGGAUCUGAAGGACCAUCCAGUUCCAACCCCCUCCCUUGGGCAGGGACACCUUCCACUAGACCAGGGUGCUCAAAGCCCCAUCCAGCCUGGCCUUGAACACUUCCAGGGAUGGGGCAUCCACAGCUUCUCUGGCCAACCUGUGCCAGUGCCUCACCACCUUCGCAUUGAAGAAUUUCUUCCUGAAGGCAAUGAAGAGAAGGCAAUCCAAAGACUUGAGGAGAAGCUUUGGGCAGACCUUGGGGGCUGCACACAGUCCUUACACCUUGCUGGCUGGCAGAAUUUAUUACACCUGCAUGUAAACACACGGACUUCUUUUUCCACAUCUUACUUCUUCUCAACUUUCCUUCUGUAAGCUAAGAAAUGCCAAUUUAAACACAGACCUUUCCUACUGUAAAUACUGCUGUUUCAUAAUGUAUACAUCUAUCAUGAAGACUGUCUUGCCUUCUGAAGUUCAGUUUGUGUAUAAUUACUUUCAGCAUCAGGUAGAAAUGUAUCUAACAUAUAUUGCUACUCUUUAUCAUGGUGUAAAGCACAAAAAUAAAAUUUAUUUUAGUGAUGACA
RNAcentral lists this long non-coding RNA (983 nucleotides) under Cyanistes caeruleus (blue tit). Its description in RNAcentral is "lncRNA (ENSCCEG00000003775.1)". Lineage: Eukaryota; Metazoa; Chordata; Aves; Passeriformes; Paridae. The record is from RNAcentral.